UACGUAGGGUGCAGGCGUUAAUCGGAAUUACUGGGCGUAAAGCGCACGCAGGUGGCUGAGUCAGUCGAUUGUGAAAGCCCCGGGCUCAACCUGGGAAUUGCAUUCGAGACUGAAUAGCUAGGGUACGGUAGAGGGAAGUGGAAUUUCCGGUGUAGCGGUGAAAUGCGUAGAUAUCGGAAGGAACAUCAGUGGCGAAAGCGACUUCCUGGACCAGUACCGACGUUCAGGCACGAAAGCGUGGGGAGCAAACAGG
This 253-nucleotide ribosomal RNA is filed under the name uncultured bacterium. Its description in RNAcentral is "partial 16S ribosomal RNA". It matches the Rfam family "Bacterial small subunit ribosomal RNA", at positions 524 to 776 of the family's 1533-position model. The record is from RNAcentral.